GUAGGGGGCUAGCGUUGUCCGGAUUUAUUGGGCGUAAAGAGCGUGUAGGCGGCCUGACAGGUCUGCUGUGAAAACUCGAGGCUCAACCUCGAGAUGUCGGCGGAAACCGUCUGGCUAGAGUCCGGAAGAGGAGAGUGGAAUUCCUGGUGUAGCGGUGAAAUGCGCAGAUAUCAGGAAGAACACCUAUGGCGAAGGCAGCUCUCUGGGACGGUACUGACGCUGAGACGCGAAAGCGUGGGGAGCGAACAGGAUUAGAUACCCUGGUAGUCCACGCCGUAAACGAUGGGUGCUAGGUGUGGGCGGUGUCGACUCCGUCCGUGCCGAAGCUAACGCAUUAAGCACCCCGCCUGGGGAGUACGGCCGCAAGGCUAAA
This 373-nucleotide ribosomal RNA is filed under the name uncultured bacterium. Its description in RNAcentral is "bacterial SSU rRNA". It matches the Rfam family "Bacterial small subunit ribosomal RNA", at positions 527 to 898 of the family's 1533-position model. The record is from RNAcentral.